This 497-nucleotide ribosomal RNA is filed under the name uncultured bacterium. Its description in RNAcentral is "partial 16S ribosomal RNA". It matches the Rfam family "Bacterial small subunit ribosomal RNA", at positions 28 to 507 of the family's 1533-position model. The record is from RNAcentral.
GACGAACGCUGGCGGCGUGCCUAAUACAUGCAAGUAGAACGCUGAAGCGAGGAGCUUGCUCUUCUUGGAUGAGUUGCGAACGGGUGAGUAACGCGUAGGUAACCUGCCUUGUAGCGGGGGAUAACUAUUGGAAACGAUAGCUAAUACCGCAUAACAAUGGAUGACACAUGUCAUUUAUUUGAAAGGGGCAAUUGCUCCACUACAAGAUGGACCUGCGUUGUAUUAGCUAGUAGGUGAGGUAACGGCUCACCUAGGCGACGAUACAUAGCCGACCUGAGAGGGUGAUCGGCCACACUGGGACUGAGACACGGCCCAGACUCCUACGGGAGGCAGCAGUAGGGAAUCGUCGGCAAUGGGGGCAACCCUGGCCGAGCAACGCCGCGUGAGUGAAGAAGGUUUUCGGAUCGUAAAGCUCUGUUGUAAGUCAAGAACGAGUGUGAGAGUGGAAAGUUCACACUGUGACGGUAGCUUACCAGAAAGGGACGGCUAACUACGUG